AGCCACGGUCACGUAAGGGCACUGCCAGAGUACAGAAUAGAAAUAGAAACCACAAAAAGUUGAAGAAGAUCACAAGAAAGAAACCACUAAAGAGACGGCAAUUGAGAAGGAAAGCAAGAUCUGAAAAUGACGAGGAGUUCAUAGACGUCGAUCCAACCAUGAAAGAAAAGAACAAAAAGAAUGCAGGUCAGAGGAGAAAAAGAAAGAGACUAACAGUAGAUUCUGAUUCUGAUUUUGUUGCGAGUUCUGGAUCAUCUGAACGUGAGUUUACCAUCUCUGAAGAAGAGAGGGAACAAGUCAGAGAGGCUAACAAUUUUUGCAGGAGCUUGGUUACAACUUGGAGGGGCUCAGCAUCUUUGAAAAAAUCACCAAUAGAGGAAGCUCCACGUCUACAAAGAAAACAUCCAGCAAGAAAGGCUAAAGAAAAGAUGGAGGAGUUAAAGAUUGAAGCCGGAAAGCAAAUUUGUGGCAUAUGUUUGUCUGAAGAAGGUAAGAGAACAGUUAGAGGGACAUUGAAUUGCUGCAGUCAUUACUUUUGUUUUGCUUGUAUCAUGGAGUGGUCCAAAGUGGAAUCUCGUUGCCCACUAUGCAAGCAAAGGUUUGUGACAAUCAGUAAGCCUGCGAGGUCAGACACUGGCUUUGAUUUGAGGACUGUGGCUAUUCAAGUCCCUGAACGUGAUCAGGUUUAUCAACCAUCUGAAGAGGAGCUUAGGGGUUACCUUGACCCGUACGAAAAUGUAUUAUGUACAGAGUGUCAGCAAGGUGGGGAUGAUGCUCUUAUGCUACUUUGUGAUCUCUGUGAUUCGCCUGCGCAUACUUAUUGUGUUGGUCUUGGACAUGAAGUACCUGAAGGUAACUGGUACUGUGAAAGCUGUCGACCAACUGCACUUGCUUCUUUAAACCCACAGAAUCUGAAUCCUAUGCCUGAUAAUCGAACAAGCGGCAGUUUUUCUGUUGGGUCACCUCCUGUUGCGAAUGUGAGAGAAACGUUUGAUCUUAAUGAAAUGUAUGUUCCUGAUACCCCUUUGACCGAAGAAUCAGGUGAUUUUCAUUCUCCGCGAGAUGGUCAAGUUUCUUCUCUAGCUUCUGGGAUUGGGGCAUUUACAGUUUCUGACCGCCGCAGAAUACAACGGCAAAUACAUCAACUCCUUAAUAACAGGAGGAGACAACUUGGUAAUAUUGCUGGGACCUCGGGUGCUGUAUCAGGGAAUAGUCUCUUUGGCUCUCAAAUUGCUCGAAGUAGAGGAUUAGCAAAUCAACCUGCUAUAGCACCUAGGGCAGUACCUCAUAAUUCAUUUUUCCGAGGAAGGCAACUGGAGAGUGAUGCUCAUUUAUCUCAAAAUCCGAACCUUGUACCCGAGAGGGCAAGUCAUUUGAGUGGGCAACUGAAUUUGAAUGGAGCCUCUACAUCAUCACAAAGUUUUUUUGGUGAAUUUUUGGAAA
This 1443-nucleotide unclassified non-coding RNA is filed under the name Hevea brasiliensis (rubber tree). Lineage: Eukaryota; Viridiplantae; Streptophyta; Magnoliopsida; Malpighiales; Euphorbiaceae. The record is from RNAcentral.